This is a long non-coding RNA of Rana temporaria (common frog), 1112 nucleotides long. RefSeq lists it as uncharacterized. The record is from RefSeq and is a predicted model, not a curated record. The transcript has 2 exons. NCBI's taxonomy places the organism in Eukaryota, Metazoa, Chordata, Amphibia, Anura, Ranidae.
CAGGGAAUGAUUGUCUCGUCCCGCUGAUCGUUCCCUCUGUGUUAUCCACCGCCCGAUCGUCGUCGCUCAACUCAGAGAUCCCAAAGAUGACUUCAACCUCAGAUGAAGUCAGUUCAAUGAAACAUGUCAAGGAUAAAAGCACACAGCGUUUAUUUAGGGUCAGCUAGGCUGCCGGAGAGAUGAGAGGGGGGUUUUAAUCAGCUAUCAUCUGAAAAUAAGAGAACGCAUAGCGAUAACCCCAUGAUCCGGUGCUUGUGCUGACAUUUUUUGUAUCGAGCCAAGUCUUUGAACCUAUGCACAUAGCAUUAGCGAUUUUAAAAGUUUUUUUAAACAAUAAAUCACCUUUCGGGAUUACGCUACGUUGCCGUUAUCUGUUUUUAUGAGACCACAGUAUCAUCUUUGGGAUCUCUGAGCGAGGACGAUCAUGGCGGUGGAUAACACAGAGGGACGAUCAGCGGAUCAGCGGGACGAGACAAUCAUUCCCUGAUGUCCUGACAGACCUAACCCAUAAUCAUCCAGCAGCGUUACUAACAGCCUACGAGGAGGAUUGCUGUGACCGUCCAUCCAGGCUCUUUAAUUGCCAAGUUCUGGUAAGUGUACACUUCAUAGGGAGAGGGAUUCGCUAAUAGAGUGGGAGUCAAAGCUUACUGCACAUCGGAGCGUCAUUUUUUGGAGCCCUCCUGUGGAACAAUUUUAUCAAUUAAUUUAUCACCAGCACUGCAUUUAUCUGCAAGUUACAUCAACUAGGAAGAUGUAGGAGCGCUGUUCGCUUCUGUCACACACAUUGUUUGAGGAUCAGCUGUCCACAGACUGACUGAAAGGGACGAUGGACGGAGCCAUGUACCAUGAAGUCUUGAGUCAGAACAAGGACAAAAUCCCUCCUGAGAUGUGUGCAAACCUGGUGGCCAACUACAAGAAAUGUCUGACCUCUAUGAUUGCCAACAAGGGUUUUGCCACCGAGUACCAAGCCAUGUUUUGCGAAGAGGUCAAAUACUUCUUUCACUCAAUUAAAGUGCAAAUCAAUUUUAUAACUUUUUCGAAAUGCAUUUUUCUGAUUUUUUGUUGUUGUUGUUCUGUCUCUCACUGUUAAAAUAAACAUACCAUUAAGUUCA